Molecule: ribosomal RNA, 491 nt
Filed under: uncultured bacterium
Lineage: Bacteria
Description: partial 16S ribosomal RNA
Rfam family: Bacterial small subunit ribosomal RNA
Source: RNAcentral
AGUGAACGCUGGCGGUAGGCCUAACACAUGCAAGUCGAACGGCAGCACAGUAAGAGCUUGCUCUUACGGGUGGCGAGUGGCGGACGGGUGAGGAAUACAUCGGAAUCUACUUUUUCGUGGGGGAUAACGUAGGGAAACUUACGCUAAUACCGCAUACGACCUACGGGUGAAAGCAGGGGAUCAUCGGACCUUGCGCGAUUGAAUGAGCCGAUGUCGGAUUAGCUAGUUGGCGGGGUAAAGGCCCACCAAGGCGACGAUCCGUAGCUGGUCUGAGAGGAUGAUCAGCCACACGGGAACUGAGACACGGUCCAGACUCCUACGGGAGGCAGCAGUGGGGAAUAUUGGACAAUGGGCGCAAGCCUGAUCCAGCCAUACCGCGUGGGUGAAGAAGGCCUUCGGGUUGUAAAGCCCUUUUGUUGGGAAAGAAAAGCAGCAGGUUAAUACCCCGCUGUUCUGACGGUACCCAAAGAAUAAGCACCGGCUAACUUCGU